UAAGGUUUUAAUUGAAUGCUAAGAGAAUGGAAUUACAGAAAAUGACUUUUUUAAAUUCAAAAUUUGAAUUUAUUUUUAUUUGUGAAGAAACAAUAAUUUACAUUAAGGACAAGAAGACCCUAAGAAUUUUAAAAGAAAAUAAAAUUUACUUAAUUUUGAAUUCUUUUUAAUUGGGGCGAUUAAAAAAUAUUAAAAACUUUUUUUAAAUUAAAAUGAACCGUUAUUAACGGUUAAAUGAUAAAAAUACUCUAGGGAUAACAGCGUAAUAAUUUUUGAUAGUUCUUAUAGACAAAAUAGUUUGCGACCUCGAUGUUGGAUUAGGAUACUUUUUUAAUGGAGAAG
RNAcentral lists this ribosomal RNA (342 nucleotides) under Amblyomma geayi. RNAcentral describes it as "partial 16S ribosomal RNA". The record is from RNAcentral. Lineage: Eukaryota; Metazoa; Arthropoda; Arachnida; Ixodida; Ixodidae.